GUAUGAAGAAGAUAUCUCUUAUUUGGAAUGACUGUCUAUUCAAGAGUUUGUGGUGGUUAUGCUUAUGUUGCUGCUGUGGGUGGACCUCUCAUACUUGGAGCUACAGACAUUGGUGUGAGAAGCAAUGCAUGUGGGCUUUAUGACUGAUGCUCUUCGACUUCACCCUUUCUGGAGAAGUCUUAAUCCAUACCUGCCAUGUGCCUUUUCUGCUAGGCGGGUAUUUUUCGAUAAAAAAAAAAAAGUGGAGUAAAAUGUAGCGAUUUAUCUAUCGAGUGGGAUGGAAUUGACCAAAAGAUGCUGAAUCAUGGCUUCUAUCUGAUGGUAACUGUUGUCAUG
Molecule: long non-coding RNA, 336 nt
Filed under: Eucalyptus grandis
Lineage: Eukaryota; Viridiplantae; Streptophyta; Magnoliopsida; Myrtales; Myrtaceae
Description: long non-coding RNA (EGRA_LNC007952)
Source: RNAcentral